CUUUUUCGGCAACCCCUGCCAGCGAGCCGCUGAAGGUGGGCAUCAUUGGAGGUGGCCACCUCGGGAAGCAGCUGGCUCAAGUGCUGCUCCGGUUUGUCCCCCUCCCUGCUGAAAGCCUGCGGAUCUCUACUCGGAGGCCAGAGGCCCUGGGUUUAUGAGUAUCCAGAUAACCUCAACAUCAAAUUUAUCAUGUACUCUUGGUCGUUAAGAUAAGAAUUCACCUCUCC
This 227-nucleotide long non-coding RNA is filed under the name Dasypus novemcinctus (nine-banded armadillo). RNAcentral describes it as "lncRNA (ENSDNOG00000052305.1)". Lineage: Eukaryota; Metazoa; Chordata; Mammalia; Cingulata; Dasypodidae. The record is from RNAcentral.